UACGUAGGGACCAAGCGUUGUUCGGAUUUACUGGGCGUAAAGGGCGCGUAGGCGGCAAUUCAAGUCAUCUGUGAAAUCUCCGAGCUUAACUCGGAACGGUCAGAUGAUACUGCUUUGCUAGAGUGCAGAAGGGGCAACCGGAAUUCUUGGUGUAGCGGUGAAAUGCGUAGAUAUCAAGAGGAACACCUGAGGUGAAGACGGGUUGCUGGGCUGACACUGACGCUGAGGCGCGAAAGCUAGGGUAGCAAACGGG
RNAcentral lists this ribosomal RNA (253 nucleotides) under uncultured bacterium. Its description in RNAcentral is "partial 16S ribosomal RNA". It matches the Rfam family "Bacterial small subunit ribosomal RNA", at positions 524 to 776 of the family's 1533-position model. The record is from RNAcentral.